Molecule: non-coding RNA, 87 nt
Filed under: Pseudomonas palleroniana
Lineage: Bacteria; Pseudomonadati; Pseudomonadota; Gammaproteobacteria; Pseudomonadales; Pseudomonadaceae
Source: RNAcentral
UUUGAUGGCGGCUGUGCGUAGGGCACCCUUGGGUGCGCCGGCUUUGGAGUCCACCGGUCUACUAACCUGCGUACAGCUGCCACCCUC